Molecule: ribosomal RNA, 135 nt
Filed under: uncultured bacterium
Lineage: Bacteria
Description: partial 16S ribosomal RNA
Source: RNAcentral
CACGUAGUUAGCCGUGACUUAUUCGUCAGGUACCGUCAUCAUCGUCCCUGACAAAAGAGGUUUACAACCCGAAGGCCGUCAUCCCUCACGCGGCGUUGCUGCGUCAGACUUUCGUCCAUUGCGCAAAAUUCCCCA